AAACUAGGAUUAGAUACCCUAUGCAGGAAAAACCUACCUUUGUAAGUAAUUAACAUAUGAAAGCAAAAAAAUUAUCGGCGGUAUUUUAAGCUUUUCAGAGGAAUUUGCUCUUUAAUGGAUAAAACACCUAAAUCUUACUUAAAUUUGUUAAUUCAAUUUGUAUACCACUAUAAAAACAAUUUAUAACUUUAAUUGUUGAUAUUUAUUAAAUUAAAAUAUAUUAAGUCAAGGUGCAGUAAAAAUUUAAGGAUGAAGUGAAUUACAUUACUUUUUAGAGAAAUAAAUUUAAAAUAAUAUUUAGGAUUUGAAAGUAAAAUUAAAAUAUAAUGUUAAUUUGAAUUAAGCUCUAAAAUAUGUACACAUCGCCCGUCGCUCUCAUU
RNAcentral lists this ribosomal RNA (380 nucleotides) under Rhipicephalus turanicus. Its description in RNAcentral is "partial 12S ribosomal RNA". Lineage: Eukaryota; Metazoa; Arthropoda; Arachnida; Ixodida; Ixodidae. The record is from RNAcentral.